UGCUCAGGCUUGGAAACAGGGUCAAUAGUA
This 30-nucleotide non-coding RNA is filed under the name Rattus norvegicus (Norway rat). Lineage: Eukaryota; Metazoa; Chordata; Mammalia; Rodentia; Muridae. The record is from RNAcentral.